This is a long non-coding RNA of Mercurialis annua (annual mercury), 624 nucleotides long. RefSeq lists it as uncharacterized. Lineage: Eukaryota; Viridiplantae; Streptophyta; Magnoliopsida; Malpighiales; Euphorbiaceae. The transcript has 3 exons. The record is from RefSeq and is a predicted model, not a curated record.
AUACGGGAUUUAUCGAGAAUCGAAUGAUAAAGCGAUUAGUGGAUUAAAUUGGACGAAAGAAAAGUUAGAAAUUGAAAGGUAUGGAGGUGGCAACUUCAAGGAUUAAAGGAGGCACUUUGCCAAUAAUAUAUAAACCCUUUUCAUUUGAUUUAAACCAGCAAAAAAAUCAAAUUCAGCUAGCAAAAUCGUUCAUCCUACUCCUCCAUUGAAGAACAUUCAACAAAACUUGAAAUCACCAUAACUUUUUCAUUUGUGGUCCGAUUGAUGCGAUUCUUGCGGCCACGGAAAGAGGAAGACGACCUCUACUGAUUGAGACCAGAAAUUUAAGGUGUUUAUUAGCUUCCAUGGACCAAUUUUGAUGAUGAAUCUUGGAGCUAGACCCUUUGGAUUUGAGGCUUCAAUCAAGGGAUAGCAUGAUAUUAUUUGGAAAGUCAAGCUUCCGAAGUUUUAAUUCUCGGAAGUCAUUUGCACAAGAAGUGAAAGAAGGUUUUCAUUCUAGCAGUCCGCAGUAGUCUAGAUUUUUUUGUCUAUGUAUUUGACUAGCGCAUUUUAACUCUGAUAUUUUUGUAAAAUGGGGUCACAUGUAUUUUGAUAUAUGAAAAAAAUGAUUUGAUUUACGAAAAA